RNAcentral lists this ribosomal RNA (466 nucleotides) under uncultured bacterium. RNAcentral's name for it is "bacterial SSU rRNA". It matches the Rfam family "Bacterial small subunit ribosomal RNA", at positions 338 to 795 of the family's 1533-position model. The record is from RNAcentral.
CCUACGGGGUGCAGCAGUAGGGAAUCUUCGGCAAUGGACGAAAGUCUGACCGAGCAACGCCGCGUGAGUGAAGAAGGUUUUCGGAUCGUAAAACUCUGUUGUUAGAGAAGAACAAGGAUGAGAAGAGAAUGUUCAUCCCUUGACGGUAUCUAACCAGAAAGCCACGGCUAACUACGUGCCAGCAGCCGCGGUAAUACGUAGGUGGCAAGCGUUGUCCGGAUUUAUUGGGCGUAAAGCGAGCGCAGGCGGUUCUUUAAGUCUGAUGUGAAAGCCCCCGGCUUAACCGGGGAGGGUCAUUGGAAACUGGGGAACUUGAGUGCAGAAGAGGAGAGUGGAAUUCCAUGUGUAGCGGUGAAAUGCGUAGAUAUAUGGAGGAACACCAGUGGCAAAGGCGGCUCUCUGGUCUGUAACUGACGCUGAGGCUCGAAAGCGUGGGGAGCAAACAGGAUUAGAUACCCUCGUAGUC